Molecule: ribosomal RNA, 417 nt
Filed under: fungal endophyte
Lineage: Eukaryota; Fungi
Description: eukaryotic LSU rRNA
Rfam family: 5.8S ribosomal RNA (bases 51-204)
Source: RNAcentral
CAAACUCUGUUUCUAUAUGUAACUUCUGAGUAAAACCAUAAAUAAAUCAAAACUUUCAACAACGGAUCUCUUGGUUCUGGCAUCGAUGAAGAACGCAGCAAAAUGCGAUAAGUAAUGUGAAUUGCAGAAUUCAGUGAAUCAUCGAAUCUUUGAACGCACAUUGCGCCCGCCAGUAUUCUGGCGGGCAUGCCUGUUCGAGCGUCAUUUCAACCCUCAAGCCCAGCUUGGUGUUGGGACUCGCGAGUCAAAUCGCGUUCCCCAAAUUGAUUGGCGGUCACGUCGAGCUUCCAUAGCGUAGUAGUAAAACCCUCGUUACUGGUAAUCGUCGCGGCCACGCCGUUAAACCCCAACUUCUGAAUGUUGACCUCGGAUCAGGUAGGAAUACCCGCUGAACUUAAGCAAUCAGUAAAGCGGAGG